AGAGAGAGAGAGCACUUGUAUAUCGCUCGCGUGUUUGUUUCGGCGCGCGGAAUUCCAGAGAGUUACCCCGACGGCCGACGCGAGUGUGUAGAGAGCAGCGGGUUUUGAUUUUGUUGGAUAUAGGUUUUCGCGGAUGUGUAUAUAGACAGAUAUGCCGCGCUGCUGACAAAUAAGCUUUGAACAAGACCGCCGGCGACUUUAGAGACGAGCUGGCUAUGCGAUAAAAUGGUGUUUAUGCGCUAUGCUCGUUCGGGGAUAAAAGCUUCGAAGAGGACGGAAAGUUUUACUUACAGGAACUAAGAAGCGGCGCACUUCCGCAAGAGCGUAGGCGAUCCUAGCGUGCGCCUCUGCUGGCGUCGCGUAAGCGGAAAUUUCGACAUGCAGAUCCUCCAUCAAAUGUGAAAACUUCGGAUCUCCGCUCACCCUUAAUUCCUCUUCCUGCGGCAUAUUUAAAUCGCAUAACAAUACAUCAUGUGAAGCGCGCGAACAAAGUGCCUCUUGCACGCGAGCUUUAUCGUUUUCGAAAUUCAUCUGCGGACUACCACAUUCGGUACUUGUAUUUUGAAAUAUUACACCACAUUACAAGCUAUUUUAUAAUCUAUAUCAUUUGCAAAUUAAUCUGCCCGUUUAUUACAGAAACAUGAAUAAAAUUAAUUUAUGGACAUAAUAAAUGCUACCCAAAAUG
Nasonia vitripennis (jewel wasp) is the source of this 685-nucleotide long non-coding RNA. RefSeq lists it as uncharacterized. The record is from RefSeq and is a predicted model, not a curated record. The transcript has 2 exons. Lineage: Eukaryota; Metazoa; Arthropoda; Insecta; Hymenoptera; Pteromalidae.